UAGUGAGUUUGAUCCUGGCUCAGGAUGAACGCUAGCGGCAGGCCUAAUACAUGCAAGUCGAACGGGCAGCAAUGUCAGUGGCGAACGGGUGCGUAACGCGUAAGGAACCUGCCCCUCACUGGGGGAUAGCUUUGCGAAAGCGAAGGUAAACCCGCAUGGUUCAGUCGAACGGCAUCGUUCGAUUGAUAAACAUUUAGUGGGUGAGGGAGGGUCUUGCGUCUGAUUAGCUAGUUGGUGGGGUAAA
RNAcentral lists this ribosomal RNA (244 nucleotides) under uncultured Cytophagaceae bacterium. RNAcentral describes it as "partial 16S ribosomal RNA". It matches the Rfam family "Bacterial small subunit ribosomal RNA", at positions 1 to 261 of the family's 1533-position model. Lineage: Bacteria; Pseudomonadati; Bacteroidota; Cytophagia; Cytophagales; Cytophagaceae. The record is from RNAcentral.